UGCUGGCCCUYUCGGGGGCAUGUGCACACCCACCAUCCUCAUCUCUCCACCUGUGCACCUCUUGUAGACCUGAAUUGACUUUCCGAGGCAACUCGGUCGGGAAGAUUGCUGUGCUCUGUGAGCCAGCUUUCUUUGCAUGUCUAGGCCUAUGUUUUUCAUAUACCCCUAUAGAAUGUAACAGAAUGUAUCAUUGGGCCUUGUGCCUAUAAACCUUAUACAACUUUCAGCAACGGAUCUCUUGGCUCUCGCAUCGAUGAAGAACGCAGCGAAAUGCGAUAAGUAAUGUGAAUUGCAGAAUUCAGUGAAUCAUCGAAUCUUUGAACGCACCUUGCGCUCCUUGGUAUUCCGAGGAGCAUGCCUGUUUGAGUGUCAUUAAAUUCUCAACCUUAUUAACUUUUGUUGAUAAUGGAUUGGAUURUGGGGGUUUCUUUUGCUGGAUUCUUCACAGAGAUCAGCUCYCCUUAAAUGCAUUAGCUGGUGCCCCGYGUGGACCAUCUAUUGGUGUGAUAAUUAUCUACGCCGUGGAUGUCUGCAAUCAUAUGGGUUUUGCACUGCUUCUAACCGUCUGUUCAUUCGGACAAUACAUGACAAUUUGACCUCAAAUCAGGUAGGACUACCCGCUGAACUUAAGCAUAUCAAUAAGCGGAGGAAAAGAAACUAACAAGGAUUCCCCUAGUAACUGCGAGUGAAGCGGGAAAAGCUCAAAUUUAAAAUCUGGCGGUCUCCGG
Molecule: ribosomal RNA, 728 nt
Filed under: uncultured fungus
Lineage: Eukaryota; Fungi
Description: eukaryotic LSU rRNA
Rfam family: 5.8S ribosomal RNA (bases 219-372)
Source: RNAcentral